GCGCGACACAGCCGAAAGAUCAGCGAGGAAAGUUUCCUCGUGCGUCACUUAGGUCCGGUUCGCGUCGACUGCCGGAUAAAUACCGUGUUCUUUUCUCGAUUUGACGUCCACCUUGAGCCAGGCCAGCCGACAAACGAUCCACCUUUCAGACACUUCGAUAUAAGUAAAUAUUUUUAAUUCCAGCGUGACUAAGGCCGACCAGGCGACCAUUCCGGAUUCCAACGUUUGUCAGAGGAAAUUCUCUUUUUCCCAGGGGAACCUGCGAGGCAUGGCUAGGUUACGCCAAUGGAGUCAUCGAGGGGAAUUCAGGUGCACCACGGUCAAGGUAACAGGGCUGUUUGGGACCCGUCGUCUUUUCUCGCCUUCUUUUUCGUGUAAAGGGAUAACUUGUUCCUCGCCUGGCCACGGCUGUUCAAGCCGGGUGAAAGUUUAACUUGGCUACGAGGAACGGGCCGGCCGGUCUCCGGAGUUUGCCGAGUUUGAUGGUGUUUUGAUGGCGUUGGACGUAAAGAGGAUACGAUGGACCGCGAGCUGGUUAAGCGACUAAGGGAAUCGGAGAAGGGUUCUGGAAUUUUCUGGUCUGGUUCCGAUGAUUUUAUGAAAAUAUCACGACAGCAGUGAGACAGUUGUAUUAUCGAAGGUUUUGUACUUAACGAGCUGUACAAGAAAAAAAGCAAAGAAUUAUAUAAAUCUGUAACGACCGAACGAUCCACUAUUUGAUUAAUGGAUAAGUAAUUAUAUUUUAAAACCAUAUAAUUACAUCGUUGUCAAGAAACUUUGUUUCUUGCGUGUUUAUCGUUGGCUAGUCUGGCUAAACAAUUUUCAUCUCUGUUCCGUUUACCAUCUUAAACUUGUAUUCUCCUUUAUUUUCUUGCUCGUCCGCUAUUUGUCUAACAAUUAUCUUAUGAAGAUAAUAUCUGUGGUUACUUGCGUUUUUCACCUUUGCUAAUUGGGAUAAUUUAAAGUUAAGCGUAGCAUAAGUAAUUGUUGAGAUUGUUAUCUAAUAUUUCAUGUAAGUUGUAAGUUGUAUAGUAUUUUAAAAACGGUUACCGUAUUAUUAACAAUCUUUUUAAUAUUUAAAUACAAAUUUAGAAAUUUCUGAUCGAUCCGAUAAAGAUUGACAAUUUACUUUCAACG
Long non-coding RNA from Bombus pascuorum, 1137 nucleotides. RefSeq lists it as uncharacterized. NCBI's taxonomy places the organism in Eukaryota, Metazoa, Arthropoda, Insecta, Hymenoptera, Apidae. The record is from RefSeq and is a predicted model, not a curated record. The transcript has 3 exons.